AGCAGCCGCGGUAAUUCCAGCUCCAAUAGCGUAUAUUAAAGUUGUUGCAGUUAAAAAGCUCGUAGUUGAAUUUCGGGAUCAGUAGGUCGGUCGUGCCACUGGUAUGAACUGGUCUCACUGGUUCCUCCCUCUUGACGAACUGCAAUGCUAUUAAUUUAGUGUAGUAGGAAAUCAGGACUGUUACUUUGAAAAAAUUAGAGUGUUUAAAGCAGGCUUUGGCUUGAAUACAUUAGCAUGGAAUAAUGAAAUAGGACGUUCGAUCCUAUUUUGUUGGCUUCUAGGAUUGACGUAAUGAUUAAUAGGGACAGUUGGGGGCAUUAGUAUUCAAUUGUCAGAGGUGAAAUUCUUGGAUUUAUUGAAGACUAACUACUGCGAAAGCAUUUGUCAAGGAUGUUCUCAUUAAUCAAGAACGAAAGUUAGGGGAUCGAAGACGAUCAGAUACCGUCGUAGUCUUAACCAUAAACUAUGCCGACUAGGGAUCGGAUGAUGUAAUUUUUAAUGACUCAUUC
This 509-nucleotide ribosomal RNA is filed under the name uncultured Glomus. RNAcentral describes it as "SSU rRNA". It matches the Rfam family "Eukaryotic small subunit ribosomal RNA", at positions 569 to 1081 of the family's 1831-position model. The record is from RNAcentral. Lineage: Eukaryota; Fungi; Glomeromycota; Glomeromycetes; Glomerales; Glomeraceae.